This 253-nucleotide ribosomal RNA is filed under the name uncultured bacterium. RNAcentral's name for it is "partial 16S ribosomal RNA". It matches the Rfam family "Bacterial small subunit ribosomal RNA", at positions 524 to 776 of the family's 1533-position model. The record is from RNAcentral.
GACAGAGGGUGCGAACGUUGCUCGGAAUAACUGGGCGUAAAGCGCGUGUAGGCGGCUCGGCACGUCCGGUGUGAAAGCCCGGGGCUCAACCCCGGAAGGGCGCUGGAUACGACGGAGCUGGAGUCCUGAAGAGGCGAGCGGAAUUCCCGGUGUAGAGGUGAAAUUCGUAGAUAUCGGGAGGAACACCAGUGGCGUAGGCGGCUCGCUGGGCAGAGACUGACGCUGAGACGCGAAAGCGUGGGGAGCAAACAGG